RNAcentral lists this ribosomal RNA (326 nucleotides) under uncultured eukaryote. RNAcentral's name for it is "partial 18S ribosomal RNA". It matches the Rfam family "Eukaryotic small subunit ribosomal RNA", at positions 1470 to 1796 of the family's 1831-position model. The record is from RNAcentral.
CCCUUAGAUGUCCUGGGCCGCACGCGCGUUACACUGAUGCAUUCAACGAGCUUAUAACCUUGGCCGAGAGGCCUGGGCAAUCUUGUUAACGUGCAUCGUGAUAGGGAUAGAUUAUUGAAAUUAUUAAUCUUCAACGAGGAAUUCCUAGUAAGUGCGAAUCAUCAGUUCGCGCUGAUUACGUCCCUGCCCUUUGUACACACCGCCCGUCGCUCCUACCGAUUGAGUGGUCCGGUGAAUAAUUCGGACUGAGGAUUUAGGCAGUUUCUGUCUUUAUCUUCGGGAAGUCUAGUGAACCUUAUCACUUAGAGGAAGGAGAAGUCGUAACA